This 250-nucleotide ribosomal RNA is filed under the name uncultured bacterium. RNAcentral describes it as "partial 16S ribosomal RNA". It matches the Rfam family "Bacterial small subunit ribosomal RNA", at positions 959 to 1207 of the family's 1533-position model. The record is from RNAcentral.
ACGCGCGGAACCUUACCAGCGUUUGACAUGGUAGGACGACUGGCAGAGAUGCCUUUCUUCCCUUCGGGGACCUACACACAGGUGCUGCAUGGCUGUCGUCAGCUCGUGUCGUGAGAUGUUGGGUUAAGUCCCCGCAACGAGCGCAACCCUCGCCUUUAGUUACCAUCAUUCAGUUGGGUACUCUAAAGGAACCGCCGGUGAUAAGCCGGAGGAAGGUGGGGAUGACGUCAAGUCCUCAUGGCCCUUACGC